Molecule: long non-coding RNA, 3802 nt
Filed under: Homo sapiens (human)
Lineage: Eukaryota; Metazoa; Chordata; Mammalia; Primates; Hominidae
Description: HSALNT0118964
Source: RNAcentral
GAGAUUUUAUAGCUUGUCACGGUUUCUACUAUAUUAAGAAUCAAGUCUAACAAAAUCAGAAUAGAUGCUAAGCCUGGAAACCCACAGGAAACAUGUUAUUCUUCAGUAUUUGCAAAGCACUGAUAAAAACAUCUCUCUUCUCUCAAUCUUGCUUCCUUCUUUUCAUUUACUAAAUAGGCUUUUGAGCCUCACAAGACUUUGAGAUUUUAUGGAUAUGAAACCUGCUAUCAUUUAGCAUCCUGCCUCUGGGAAUAGACAUGGAUUCUCACUAUGACACCCAGGCUGGAGUGCAGUGGCACAAUCAUAGCUGACUACAGCCUCGAAUUUCUGGGCUCAAGCAAGGCUUUCAUCUCAACCUCCCCAGGAGCUGGGAUUACAGAUGGUGUCAGAAGCGGGGUUCAAAGUAGAGCUUUAAUGACCCCCAGAAGUGCUGAGUGAACAAGCAAGGUACCUGCAAGGACCCACUUGUGUCCUUUGAUCUCUCAGAGCAGUGGAAUUUUCAGCCUGCCAGCCUGCCCUACAGAAUUCAGACUUGUCAGCCUCCACAAUCAGUUCUAGAGGCUGAUAAGUCCAAGCAUAUGGUGCCAGCAUCUGGUGAGGCCUUCUUGCUGUGUAAUCUCAUGGCAGAAGAGUGGAAGGACAAGUGAGCACAUGCAAAAGGGAUUGUACAAGGUGCUGAGCUGGCUUUAUUACAACUUGCUCUUGAGAUAACUACCAACUCUGAUGAUAGGACCUUAAUCUAUUCAUAAGGGUGCUGCCUAUGAUUUGAUUACCUCUUAAAGGCCCCACAUCUUAAUACUUUUACAAUGGCAAUUAAAUGUCAACAUGAGUUUCAGUGGAGACAAACAUUCAAACCAUAGCAAAGGCUUAGAAUAGAAUCCUAGGAAUUCCAAAAUUGCCAGACAGAGAAAAAGAUGACAGCUACAGAAUCUGUGAAAUAUGUUCAUCAAAGUAAAAAGAAAUCCAGACAGUCAGUGACCUGUGAGCCAAUGGAAGAGAGAGACCACACAGGUGAGUGCCAAUGAGAGAUCAAAUGAGAUAUAGGUCAUAGUUACUUGUUCUAUUAAAUGACAUAGAAGAUAAAGGUGGCCUUAGCAAAAAUAGAAUUUCAAACUGUUAGGGAGGAAGCCAGACUGGAAUUAGAGAGGUAGCUGAAGAAUGACAGGGAAUGAGUAGAGAGGAACAGAGAGUAUAGGUUCUUUUGAAGAGCCAGGAAAGUUGGCAUGAAGAAGCUCAAUAUCUCUUUCUGUCUCUCAUUCUCACUCUGUGUGUGUAUGUGUGUGUGUGUGUGUGUGUGGUGGGGAGAAGGAAUAAGAGACAGAAAUCUUGAAACAUUAAAAUUAUCAUUAAAUGAUGGUGAGAAGGAAAGAAAUAUAAAAGUUAUGGUAAGAGAAAAAUAUGAGUAAUAUUUAACUCUUUCCAGAAAGGAUCCUCAAACCAAAGAACAUCCAUUUAGGCACUAUGGCUAGUGUUCAAACACACAAUAACCUCAAAAUAACACUUGCUGUCAAGCAGAAUUUGUAAAACUGAGCUGAAUAAUCAUGGAUUCAAAGGAAUUUAUUUCCUGACAUAUCAAAAUGGCCUUGUUUAAAUCAUGUAAUCGAGUCUAUAAUAAAAAUUUAAUCUUAAGGUUUUAUAGCUCAAAAAAAUCUGUAUUUUAAAUUUUUAGGCAGUUUCUUCUAAGGUGAACAAUGGUAUUUACCUUUUGGGUAGAACAUGACUUAUUUUUGGAAGUAUUGCUUGAGUAAUAUUAAGAAUUAGGAAAUAUCUACUUGCUGAUAUGAGAGUAUACAAAAAUGUUUGCUUGACAAGCUUCCGAGGGCUCUGUAAGAUUGUGGUGAUAUCAGAUAAUGCCCUUCCCAAAUGUGUCUGCUCAUCAAUGAAUUUACACACAUGCAUAACAGCUUCCUGGGAGCAGAAUGGCUUGUACCUGGUUCUGUCUCUGAGUGUUUCAAAGAUAUGGAAGCAUGUUUGAUGAAAGAUCAUGGAAUAGCAAAGAAAAAUAGCACCAAAAAGGCAAACAAGGCAGGGAAAGAUUCUAGACUAGUGAUUUGGGAUCAACACAGGACAGGAUGAUUAGAGAGAAUAGCUUCCUGUGCACACUAUGUAGUUUGAUGCAGAAGCCAUCCUGAUCCAGAUGCCCUGGUACUGUGGGGCGGGACCUUGGAAAAAUUACCCAGAGGAUGUGAAGUGAAAGUUUUGUUACACCAUUCUUCAGAGUGAAGGCAGUUUUCCUACAGAAACCUUCAAAAAAGGAGAUGCAUCCUUCCUUGUUCCUGGCAGUCUUGCAUUUGAGGAAAUCAGUAUGCUCCAACUUAGACUUAUCUUUUAGUCUCCAGAGGCAGAAAAAAAGCAGAAAAGGUUGUUGAAAUUCUUCACAUUGAUUUCAGGGCAAUGAUCUCAAACGGCGCAGUGGGAACCCGCAAAUUUAAGAGGGUAGUUUCCCUGCACAAGCCCUUUUUUUGCCUGCUGCCAUCCGUGUAAGAUGUGACUUGCUCCUCCUUGUCUUCUACCAUGAUUGUGAGGCCUCCCCAGUUAUGUGGAACUCAAAGCUAGAGGAAACCAAAGUCAUAGAACAUCUGAACUCUGUCCAAACAUCGGUCGUAUUUCAAAAUUUCAGAGCCUCAGACUUCCAUGAUAAUAUCUGCCUAGUCUUUAGAAGAGUGUAUGGAAGUGUUCAAGAACCUUUCCUGAAACAACUUCUAUUACAGACACUGCUUCUUCAUGGUUAUUCCAUCAGAUUGCAAUCACUUAUAUGUUUUUUUCCACUCUUCCUUAUAUUAUGAGCACUUUUCACGUAGGGGUUCAUCUCUUUAAUAAUCAUAGCUCCCAACACAAUUGUAGGCUUAUAUUAGAUGCUCGAUAAAGAUGAGUUGAGUUAACAUGUAAAGUAAUGAAUGAGUAAGGAAAAAUAGAAUAGUUUCGAAUUAAUGCAUGUUACUGCUACUGUAAAUUUAAUGUUUUCAUUUCUAUUACUAUUUAUAUAUAAAUUUAAUUAAUUGUUAACUUUCUUUGCCAUCCAUACAUCUAUUUAUCUGCUCAUUUGAAAAUCUCUUUCCUGUUUCCUAUUAUUCAAAAUAUUAAAAGCAAAUAUUACUUAAAUAUUUAAAUCACUCUUUUUCCAUGUUAAGUUUCUCAGGAUGCAGAAUGUUGCUGUACACUGAGAAAUAUUAGGCGAUACAAAAUGGCUACUAUAACGUAAUGUUCUAGAAAAUGAUAAAAGUCAAACCCAUUGGUUUUUGCUGCCAACACAAGUUUGUCAAUGUAAUUAAUGCCCUUUAGCCUGGGAGGGUUGUAUGACAGGAAAAAUGGCAUCAAAGCCAUUUUUAUUUAAAAAAUAAAUUUAAUAUUACUUGAUAAUAAGGGAGCUAUAUAAGCAAAAAUCUUAGAAUUUUCUUUUUCUUUUUUUUCCUUAGUUUCACAUCUUUCUACAUAGUAUCCAAAUCCCAGUUGUUGAUACUAAUUUUCUUGCCUUCUUACCCUUAACAAGUUUGGAGACAAAGUUAAUAUCAUUAGUAGUAUGUAAACUAAUUCCUAAAGCAAAAGUCUCUAAAAGUGUGAUCCAUGUCCCAUUUUUUAUUGGUCUGCAAUGAGGUAAGCACAGAAAUUUUAAUCACCUCCACGCAUACCUUCAAUGAGCAACAUGUACAGUUUUUUGAGACUCUUCUCUCUUUUCCUGUUAUUUUCUGAUUGCAUUUAUAAAAAUGCAAUUUUGUGUUUGUUGAAUCUGAUGAUAAAAAAUGAGGAAACACCGCAUAUUCUCACUCAUAGGUGGGAAUUGAACAAUGAGAUCACAUGGACA